GCCGCAAACACAGGAUUAGUUGACCCCCUGUCCAACCUGGGCCGCGGCCGGGUCUUUAUCUUUUCUGGAACAAGAGACAGUGUCCUCCUACAAGGGGUGGCCCAGAAGCUGCAGGAGUUCUAUACCAGCUAUAUCAGCUCUGCAUCUAUCAAAACUGUAUACACUGUGGCUGCUGAGCAUGGGAUGCCCACUGACAGCUACGGCGGAGCAUGCGGAACAACUAACAAUGAUUAUAUCAAUAACUGCAACUACAAUGGUGCUUAUGAAGCUCUGAAUCACCUCUAUGGAGGGCUGCAGAAACCCAGCAGCAGUGCCGGACAGUCU
Molecule: long non-coding RNA, 324 nt
Organism: Nanorana parkeri
Lineage: Eukaryota; Metazoa; Chordata; Amphibia; Anura; Dicroglossidae
Exons: 4
Source: RefSeq, a predicted model, not a curated record